AAGACCUUCAAUCAGGUGGGAUUACCCGCUGAACUUAAGCAUAUCAAUAAGCGGAGGAAAAGAAACUAACAAGGAUUCCCCUAGUAACGGCGAGUGAAGAGGGAAAAGCCCAAAUUUGUAAUCUGGCUCUUUUAGAGUCCGAGUUGUAAUUUUGAGAACUGUUUUCAGUGCUGGACCAUGUUUAAGUCUGUUGAAAAACAGCAUCAUUGAGGGUGAUAAUCCCGUUCAUGAUAUGGACUACCAGUACUUUAUGAUACAGUCUCUAAGAGUCGAGUUGUUUGGGAAUGCAGCUCAAAGUGGGUGGUAAAUUCCAUCUAAGGCUAAAUAUAGGUGAGAGACCGAUAGCAAACAAGUACCGUGAGGGAAAGAUGAAAAGAACUUUGGAAAGAGAGUUAACAGUACGUGAAAUUGCUGAAAGGGAAACAAUUGAAGUUAGCCUUGUUAUUGUCAGUUCAGCUCUUUUAGAGUGUAUUCUGAUGAUUAACGACCAACAUCAGUCUUUGAGUGCUGGAUAAGGGUUUUGGAAAUGUAGCAGUCUCGGCUGUGUUAUAGUCCAUUACUUUGAUACAGUGCUUGGGAUUGAGGAUCGCAGUAAGCCAUUUUAUGGUGGACCAAAUUUUUGGUCUUCUUACUGAGGAUGUUGGUGAAAUAGCUUUAAAUG
RNAcentral lists this ribosomal RNA (661 nucleotides) under Neophysopella vitis. RNAcentral describes it as "partial large subunit ribosomal RNA". It matches the Rfam family "Eukaryotic large subunit ribosomal RNA", at positions 1 to 646 of the family's 3401-position model. Lineage: Eukaryota; Fungi; Basidiomycota; Pucciniomycetes; Pucciniales; Crossopsoraceae. The record is from RNAcentral.